RNAcentral lists this ribosomal RNA (524 nucleotides) under Hepatozoon canis. RNAcentral's name for it is "SSU rRNA". It matches the Rfam family "Eukaryotic small subunit ribosomal RNA", at positions 201 to 714 of the family's 1831-position model. Lineage: Eukaryota; Apicomplexa; Hepatozoidae. The record is from RNAcentral.
ACGCAUUUAUUAGAUAAAAAGCCAAUGCAUGCUUUUACAGUAUGGAAAUUGGUGAUUUAUAAUAACUUAGCAAAUCGCAAAGUGAAAACAGGCGAUAAAUCAUUCAAGUUUCUGACCUAUCAGCUUUCGACGGUAUGGUAUUGGCUUACCGUGGCAGUGACGGUUAACGGGGGAUUAGGGUUCGAUUCCGGAGAGGGAGCCUGAGAAACGGCUACCACAUCUAAGGAAGGCAGCAGGCGCGCAAAUUACCCAAUUCUAACAGUUUAAGAGAGGUAGUAACAAGAAAUAACAAUACAAGGCAAUUAAAAUGCUUUGUAAUUGGAAUGAUAGAAAUUUAAACCCUUUUUAAAGUAUCAAUUGGAGGGCAAGUCUGGUGCCAGCAGCCGCGGUAAUUCCAGCUCCAAUAGCGUAUAUUAAAAUUGUUGCAGUUAAAAAGCUCGUAGUUGAAGUUCUGCUAAAAGUAACCGGUCUGCUUUUAAUAAAAGUGGUAUCUUGGUGUGUAUUUAGCAAUGAUGUCCUUUGAA